RNAcentral lists this ribosomal RNA (531 nucleotides) under Escherichia coli. RNAcentral's name for it is "partial 23S ribosomal RNA". It matches the Rfam family "Bacterial large subunit ribosomal RNA", at positions 1213 to 1744 of the family's 2925-position model. Lineage: Bacteria; Pseudomonadati; Pseudomonadota; Gammaproteobacteria; Enterobacterales; Enterobacteriaceae. The record is from RNAcentral.
GCUUAUGCGUUGUUGGGUAGGGGAGCGUUCUGUAAGCCUGCGAAGGUGUGCUGUGAGGCAUGCUGGAGGUAUCAGAAGUGCGAAUGCUGACAUAAGUAACGAUAAAGCGGGUGAAAAGCCCGCUCGCCGGAAGACCAAGGGUUCCUGUCCAACGUUAAUCGGGGCAGGGUGAGUCGACCCCUAAGGCGAGGCCGAAAGGCGUAGUCGAUGGGAAACAGGUUAAUAUUCCUGUACUUGGUGUUACUGCGAAGGGGGGACGGAGAAGGCUAUGUUGGCCGGGCGACGGUUGUCCCGGUUUAAGCGUGUAGGCUGGUUUUCCAGGCAAAUCCGGAAAAUCAAGGCUGAGGCGUGAUGACGAGGCACUACGGUGCUGAAGCAACAAAUGCCCUGCUUCCAGGAAAAGCCUCUAAGCAUCAGGUAACAUCAAAUCGUACCCCAAACCGACACAGGUGGUCAGGUAGAGAAUACCAAGGCGCUUGAGAGAACUCGGGUGAAGGAACUAGGCAAAAUGGUGCCGUAACUUCGGGAGAA